GUCGAGAAUAAUUCACAAUGGACGAAAGUCUGAUGGUGCAACGCCGCGUGGAGGAUGAAGGUCUUCGGAUUGUAAACUCCUGUCAUCGGGGAGUAAGACCUGGCGGUAAAUAGCCGACAGGGUUGAUAGUACCCGAAGAGGAAGGGACGGCUAACUUCGUGCCAGCAGCCGCGGUAAUACGAAGGUCCCAAGCGUUGUUCGGAAUCACUGGGCGUAAAGGGAGCGUAGGCGGCGUGGUAAGUCAGAUGUGAAAUCGCGGGGCUCAACCCCGGAACUGCAACCGAUACUGCCAUGGUUGAGGGUUGGAGAGGUAGCUGGAAUUCGCGGUGUAGCAGUGAAAUGCGUGGAUAUCGAGAGGAACACUCGUGGCGAAGGCGAGCUACUGGACAACAUCUGACGCUGAGGCUCGAAGGCCAGGGUAGCGAAAGGGAUUAGAAACCCCAGUAGUCC
RNAcentral lists this ribosomal RNA (450 nucleotides) under uncultured bacterium. Its description in RNAcentral is "partial 16S ribosomal RNA". It matches the Rfam family "Bacterial small subunit ribosomal RNA", at positions 354 to 796 of the family's 1533-position model. The record is from RNAcentral.